CUGUCGCGUGUCAUACGAUUAUUGUUAUCAUACAGCCUUUAGAGUUACCGAUUUUCUUGGCCACAGCGAGGGGGAUCGGAAUGCUAUCCGGCGUGAAAGAUAUUCUGGCGAAAGCCAAGGAAGCCAAAGAUGACUUCAAGACAACUGUGGCACCGGAGCUGGACCGCAGUCGACAACGACUGGCCGAGCAGCUCAAGAAAUCGGCACAAUCAGUGAAGAAAUACACUACACGACUGCCAUCGACAGUGUCAGACCCGAGUAUGU
Long non-coding RNA from Sycon ciliatum, 264 nucleotides. RefSeq lists it as uncharacterized. The transcript is spliced from 3 exons. Lineage: Eukaryota; Metazoa; Porifera; Calcarea; Leucosolenida; Sycettidae. The record is from RefSeq and is a predicted model, not a curated record.